UGGGUAACCUGCCUCAAAGAGGGGAAUAGCCUCCCGAAAGGGAGAUUAAUACCGCAUAAUAUGUUUUGAUCGCAUGAUUGAGACAUCAAAGGAAUUUCUUCGGAAAUUCCACUUUGAGAUGGACCCGCGGCGCAUUAGCUAGUUGGAGAGGUAACGGCUCACCAAGGCGACGAUGCGUAGCCGACCUGAGAGGCGAUCGGCCACACUGGACUGAGACNCGCCAGACUCCG
This 230-nucleotide ribosomal RNA is filed under the name uncultured bacterium. RNAcentral's name for it is "partial 16S ribosomal RNA". It matches the Rfam family "Bacterial small subunit ribosomal RNA", at positions 118 to 340 of the family's 1533-position model. The record is from RNAcentral.